AUGAGUUGGCGAGGAAGAUUAACAUGUAGAUCAAGACAAUAUUUACAGCCUGUUCAGCCGAUUGGGCCUCUGCUUGAGCCCAGUGUGCCAGAGCCUUAACAAGAGGAACCACAAGCUGAAAGUCAGAAUGGUACACCUGGUCAGAAGACAGAAGAAGAUCAGGGUGCAGCUGAGAUUCGAGCGCCUGACCUGGCAGCUGAUUUCCAGGAGCUGUCUCAGUCAAAGACUGGGGUAAAGGCAGAGAUGGUCCUGAUGUCCAGGGGAAGAUUCUGCCAAAAUCAGAGCAAUUUAAAAUCUCAUAAGGAGGUAAAGGGCAACCACAGGUUUAAACGAAAACAAGCUGAAAGAAUGCAAGCUGAAUUUUUCUGAGAUAUUUGGCUUUAAAAAAAUCUCAAUAAAGCUUCACAGCUUUCUCCAAA
This is an RNA transcript of Homo sapiens (human), 419 nucleotides long. It is a transcript of the gene named X antigen family member 5-like, with no coding region annotated. The transcript is spliced from 4 exons. NCBI's taxonomy places the organism in Eukaryota, Metazoa, Chordata, Mammalia, Primates, Hominidae. The record is from RefSeq and is a predicted model, not a curated record.